CCUACGGGUGGCUGCAGUGAGGAAUAUUGGUCAAUGGGCGCGAGCCUGAACCAGCCAAGUAGCGUGAAGGAUGACUGCCCUACGGGUUGUAAACUUCUUUUGUAAAGGAAUAAAGUGGGGCACGUGUGCCUUUUUGUAUGGACUUUAUGAAUAAGGAUCGGCUAACUACGGGCCAGCAGCCGCGGUAAUACGGAGGAUCCGAGCGUUAUCCGGAUUUAAUGGGGUUAAAGGGAGCGUAGAUGGGUUGGUAAGUCAGUUGGGAAAGUUUGCGGCUCAACCGUAGAAUUGCAAUUGAUACUGGCAGUCUUGAGUACAGGUGAGGUAGGCGGAAUUCGUGGUGUAGCGGUGAAAUGCAUAGAUAUCACGAAGAACUCCGAUUGCGAAGGCAGCUUACUAAACUGCCACUGACGUUGAUGCUCGAAAGUGUGGGUAUCAAACAGGAUUAGAUACCCGAGUAGUC
This 460-nucleotide ribosomal RNA is filed under the name uncultured bacterium. RNAcentral describes it as "partial 16S ribosomal RNA". It matches the Rfam family "Bacterial small subunit ribosomal RNA", at positions 338 to 795 of the family's 1533-position model. The record is from RNAcentral.